RNAcentral lists this ribosomal RNA (494 nucleotides) under uncultured bacterium. RNAcentral describes it as "partial 16S ribosomal RNA". It matches the Rfam family "Bacterial small subunit ribosomal RNA", at positions 28 to 507 of the family's 1533-position model. The record is from RNAcentral.
GACGAACGCUGGCGGCGCGCUUAACACAUGCAAGUCGAACGGAAAGGCCUGCUUUCCCUUGUGGAUUGCGGGUACUCGAGUGGCGAACGGGUGAGUAACACGUGAGUGAUCUGCCCCCAACUUGGGUAUAAGCCUGGGAAACUGGGUCUAAUUCCCGAUAGGACUGCAGGGUGGUGCCUGUGGUGGAAAACGAUUUUCUAGUGGUUGGGGUUGAGCCCGCGGCCUAUCAGCUUGUUGGUGGGGUAAUGGCCUACCAAGGCGGCGACGGGUAGCCGGCCUGAGAGGGUGGACGGCCACAUUGGGACUGAGAUACGGCCCAGACUCCUACGGGAGGCAGCAGUGGGGAAUAUGGCACAAUGGGCGGAAGCCUGAUGCAGCGACGCCGCGUGGGGGAUGACGGCCUUCGGGUUGUAAACUCCUUUCGACCGCGAGGAAGCCACCUGGUUGGAAGGGUGGUGACGGUAGUGGUAGAAGAAGCACCGGCUAACUACGUG